Non-coding RNA from Arachis ipaensis, 2492 nucleotides. The record is from RefSeq and is a predicted model, not a curated record. NCBI's taxonomy places the organism in Eukaryota, Viridiplantae, Streptophyta, Magnoliopsida, Fabales, Fabaceae.
AAAUUAUUUAAAUAUUUAAGAAGUUGUGUUUAUUUGGAAUAGAUACCAUUGGUCUUUUAACUUCGGUGGGAGAAGAGAAAUAAUAUGUAAAAGAGGGGAAAAUCGUGAAAAUAAUUGUGCUGGAAUUAAUUUUAAAAGAUCCUACAAUGCGUUGUGCAUUGUUUAGGGACUAUGUUAAUCAAGUAAAUCAUUUUUUAGCCUCUGGCUAUGUGGAGCAGCUUGUUUUAGUCAUUCAACUUGCGAAAGUCAAGUUCUUUAAUUAGGGGUACAUUGUUUAAUUUCUGUACAUUUUCUUAUUGCUACUCUGAGUGUUGUCUCCCAUAAACUUUGCUAGACUCUUUCGGUAUUGCUGUGUAGGUCAAGUAGGUCUCCAAAAUGUGAUGUAUGUCAAUCAAAUGUUAUUUAAUCCUGAUCUUUUUGAAGUUGUUGAAUUCAGACAGAGGUUAGCAUGGUUUAUUUCGCUGUUUUUGUUUCUAUUCUUAGGAUACAACCAAUCUAGAGUAAUAAGUACAUGUAUUUGCAUCAUUUUUUUUGUUAGUAUGAUUGAGCAAGAUGUCAAAGGUACCCAGCCACUAUUUAUUGCAAAUGAGGGUAAAAUUAUUUUCUUGAAAUAUGAUUUCAUGCGCUUAACUAGAAGAUGCACUAUUGAAGAGCUCCAAGAUAACAAUGAGGUUGGCAUUUAUUGAGUUAGUUGUGUUUAUUUUAUACACCAAUGAACGAAAAAAAAAAAACAAUUUUCAGAUCUAUUCUUUUAUGCAUAUUGUUAAUAAAUUUUUAAAAUGUCCCUUGCCUAGGAGGGUUCUUUUAUCAUUUUUGAUACAAUCAGAGGUAUUGUUGAAGAUGAAAAUUGGUGGUAUUCUGCUUGUGUGUGUGGAAAGGGUAUCUAUCCUCAAAAUGGUGCAUACUACUGUGAUUUCUGUGUGAAACAUAUAACUAAUGUCACUCCGAAGUAAAAACAAAAAUUUGUUCAAAAUGUUUUUUCAUUUUUGUUUUGCGGAUCUUUUAUAAGAAUAAUAUUUCAUGUUAUUAUUCAUUUUGAAACAUUGUUUUUUUUUCGAUUAUGCAGAUUUAAAAUUAAAAUAACACUUGAAGAUCAUAGUGGGGAGGGUAUUUUCGUUCUGUUUGAUCGUGAGCAUCUUAUUUGUUUAAGAAAUCAUGCGCUGACCUGUUUACUGAGGUUCAAAAAGAUGCAAGUGUAUGUUCUUAGUUUUCUUUUGUGUGUUGUUCACUUUGUGGUUCAUUUUUUUAUAACUAUAUUCUUUAUUUUGGUUGAUAUGUGUUACUCAAUCUGGGUAUUUCUUAUCUAUUACCUUGAAAAUAGCUUAUAUGUGGGGAUACUUAUCCUCCCAUAUUCCAAGGGCUCAUUGGGAAAAAGUUGCUGCUGAAAGUUGAUACCAAAGGUGUCGGACUUGAUAAAUUUUUUGGCACUUUCUGACUUAGGAGAGCAUGUGAUGAUCCCACCAUUAUUGCUAUGUUUGAACUUCCUGAUUAUGAUGCUGAUGAUGAGUCUACUCCAAAAAAGGUUACAUAUACAUAUAAGUAUUUUUAGAUUGUGUAAAUUCAUUUUUUUUGGUAUUGUGCUGUGGUCAACUUUUCUUAUGUUCUUUUUUAUUUUUUAACUCUUAUGUUAUAUGAAUAGGAGCCUGAACUAAAAAAACCCGUGUCAUGUGAAAAAGGAGAUACUGAUAUUAAGAAAGAGUCACCAAGCACUUCUAUUAAAAGUGACAAUGUUGUUGCCGAGUCUUCUGCGAUUUUAUCUAAAUCCCCAGUUCUUAUAGAUUUCCUGGUUGAAAAAUAGCCUAAUGUUUCUGGAGGGAUUGAGGUUGCUGCUUUAAUUAAUGAUGAAAAUGGAAAUGUUGAAAAAACAACCAAGAAUGAUACCCUUAGUGAUGACUUUUUUUCUGAACGGGAUAUAUUGCUUAGCUCACCCGUGAAAGAAACUCAGGUGCGAUUAUAUAAUACUUUUUUUCCUUUCUUAUGUGUGCCGUUUCUAAAUGGAUUUUUCAUCGAGUCAUUUUCAUACCUUUUGUUAAUUCCUAUGUCAUAGGAGGUGUUCUUCCAAGUUCUAAAAGCAUGUUCCCACUAUAGAGAAAAGGUUAUUCAUGAAGAUCAUGUUGUCACUUCCAAGGGCAAGAGGAAUUUGAAUCCUCAAUUUGAUGAGGCAGCUAAUGAUGCAAAUGGGCGUGGGUCCAAGAUUACCAAGGUUGAUGGAAUUUGAUUUAAGUUGUGGAGUUGAGCUGCUGUGUCUAGGUGUAGGUAUGUUAUAUAAUAUAUCUAUAAGUGUUUAGAAAGGCUUAUGAUUUCAAGUGGAUCUAAACUAGCGUGAAGACCCGUGUAAAUGCGCGGGAUUAAAGUUUUGUUAACAUUUUGAAAAAUGAAAUUAUUCAAUAUAAUCAGUAUAUUUUAGAGAAAACUCUCAUAUCUAAUAUUAAUAUUUAAAAAAAAUAACCAUACUAAUUUAAUUAUAUACUAAAAAAAUAAUCAUACCUUUU